AGAACGAACGCUGGCGGCAUGCCUAAUACAUGCAAGUCGAACGAACACUUCGGUGUUAGUGGCGCACGGGUGCGUAACGCGUGGGAAUCUGCCCUUGGGUUCGGAAUAACAGUUGGAAACGACUGCUAAUACCGGAUGAUAUCGAAAGAUCAAAGAUUUAUCGCCCAGGGAUGAGCCCGCGUAGGAUUAGCUAGUUGGUGAGGUAAAGGCUCACCAAGGCGACGAUCCUUAGCUGGUCUGAGAGGAUGAUCAGCCACACUGGGACUGAGACACGGCCCAGACCUCCGUACGGGAGGCAG
RNAcentral lists this ribosomal RNA (299 nucleotides) under uncultured soil bacterium. RNAcentral describes it as "partial 16S ribosomal RNA". It matches the Rfam family "Bacterial small subunit ribosomal RNA", at positions 26 to 351 of the family's 1533-position model. The record is from RNAcentral.